CCUACGGGAGGCAGCAGUAAGGAAUAUUGCACAAUGGGCGCAAGCCUGAUGCAGCAACGCCGCGUGCCCGAGGACGGCCUUCGGGUUGUAAAGGGCUUUUCUGGCUGAAGAGGAAGGACAGUAGGCCAGGAAUAAGCGUCGGCUAACUACGUGCCAGCAGCCGCGGUAAU
This 170-nucleotide ribosomal RNA is filed under the name uncultured bacterium. Its description in RNAcentral is "partial 16S ribosomal RNA". It matches the Rfam family "Bacterial small subunit ribosomal RNA", at positions 338 to 524 of the family's 1533-position model. The record is from RNAcentral.